GUGCCAGCCGCCGCGGUAAUACGGAGGGGGCUAGCGUUGUUCGGAAUUACUGGGCGUAAAGCGCGCGUAGGCGGGCUGGAAAGUUGGGGGUGAAAUCCCGGGGCUCAACCCCGGAACUGCCUCCAAAACUAUCAGCCUCGAGUUCGAGAGAGGUGAGUGGAAUUGCGAGUGUAGAGGUGAAAUUCGUAGAUAUUCGCAGGAACACCAGUGGCGAAGGCGGCUCACUGGCUCGAUACUGACGCUGAGGUGCGAAAGUGUGGGGAGCAAACAGGAUUAGAAACCCGAGUAGUCC
RNAcentral lists this ribosomal RNA (292 nucleotides) under uncultured prokaryote. RNAcentral describes it as "partial 16S ribosomal RNA". It matches the Rfam family "Bacterial small subunit ribosomal RNA", at positions 505 to 796 of the family's 1533-position model. The record is from RNAcentral.